GCGAGCAGCGCGGCAGCGGUGGUGAGAUAACCUCCUGGGAAUACAUGCCUACGAGUCUGCCUUGACGUGGGGGAUAACGUACUGGAAACGGUACGCUAAUACCGCAUAACGUCGCUACAGGACCAAAGAGGGGGACCUUCGGGCCUCUUGCGCUAUCAGAUGAGCCCAGAUCGGAUUAGCUAGUUGGUGAGGUAACGGCUCACCAAGGCGACGAUCCCUAACUGGUCUGAGAGGAUGACCAGCCACACUGGAACUGAGACACGGUCCAGACUCCUACGGGAGGCAGCAGUGGGGAAUAUUGCACAAUGGGCGAAAGCCUGAUCCAGCCAUGCCGCGUGUAUGAAGAAGGCCUUCGGAUUGUAAAGCACUUUAAGCGGGGAGGAAGGGAUGUAAAGUUAAUACCUCUGCUCAUUUGACGUUACCCGACAGAAGAAGCACCGGCUAACUCCGUGCCAGCAGCCGCGGUAAUACAGAGGGUGCAAGCGUUAAUCGGAAUUACUGGGCGUAAAGCGCACGCAGGCGGUUCGAUUAAGUCAGAUGUGAAAUCCCCGGGCUCAACCUGGGAACUGCAUUCUGAUACUGAUCAGACUAGAGUAUCGUAGAGGGGGGUAGAAUUCCAGGUGUAGCUGGAGAAAUGCGUAGAGAUCUAGGAAGGAAUACCGGUGGAGAAAGCGACCCCCUGGACCAAGACUGACACUCAGGUGCCAAAGCAUGCGGAGCAAACAGGAUCUAGAUACCCUGGUAGUUCCACACCGUAAACAAUUGUACUCGACUUGGAGGAUGCCUGACCUCUGAGGCGUGGCCUCCGGAGCUAACGUGUGAAGUCGACCGCCUGGGCAGUACGAGCCGCAAGGUUAAAACUCAAAUGAAUUGACGGGGGCCCGCACAAGCGGCGGAGCAUGUCGUUUAAUUCGAUGCAACGACGUAACAACCUUACAACCGGUCUUGACAUCCACGUGAAGUGCUCAGAGAUGAGAAUGUGCUCUUCGAGAACAGUGUAGACACGUGCUGCAGGGCUAUCGUCAGCUCGUGUCGUGAAAAGUUGGGUUAAGUCCCGCAACGAACGCAACCCUUAUCCUCUGUUGCCAGCCGAUAUCGAUCGCGAACUCAAAGGAGACUGCCAGAGAUAAACUGGAGGAAGGUGCGGAUGACGUCAAGUCAUCAUGGCCCUUACGACCAGCUGCUACACACGUGCUACA
Molecule: ribosomal RNA, 1199 nt
Filed under: Escherichia albertii
Lineage: Bacteria; Pseudomonadati; Pseudomonadota; Gammaproteobacteria; Enterobacterales; Enterobacteriaceae
Description: bacterial SSU rRNA
Rfam family: Bacterial small subunit ribosomal RNA
Source: RNAcentral